GAACUCCCAAGAUCCCUGCCCCACAGAA
This 28-nucleotide non-coding RNA is filed under the name Cricetulus griseus (Chinese hamster). Lineage: Eukaryota; Metazoa; Chordata; Mammalia; Rodentia; Cricetidae. The record is from RNAcentral.